AGGAAAUAGAUACCCAGGUAGUCCACACCCUAAACGAUCCUAACUGGUUUUGGGGAGUAUCGACCCUCCCCGAGACGAAAGCUAAACGCGUUAAAGUUAGGCGCCUGGGUAGUACGAUCGCAAGAUUAAAACUCAAAGGAAUAGACGGGGACUUGCACAAGCGGUGGAUCAUGCGGCUCAAUUCGAUGACAAACGAAGAACCUCACCAGGGUUUGAAACCCAGACGAAAUCCUUAGGAAACUUUGGACCUCGCAAGACGGCUGGGCAGGUGAUGCAUGGUCGUCGUCAGUUCGUGGCUUGAGUUGUUCCCUUCAGUGGGGUAACGAACGCAACCCCGUUGCCUGUUUCUAAUGUCAGGCGAGACUGCUCCCUCACGGGAGGAGGAAGGUGGGGUAGUGACGCCAGAUCAGCAUGUCCCUCUGAUAUCCUGGGCGUGCACCGCAUGAUACAAUGCACUCGACAACAAGACGCAAUAGGGUAACCUGGAGCAAACUCUUUUAAAACCGUAGUGCUCAGUUCGGUAUUGAGGUCUGCAACUCGACCUCAUGAA
This 550-nucleotide ribosomal RNA is filed under the name uncultured bacterium. Its description in RNAcentral is "bacterial SSU rRNA". It matches the Rfam family "Bacterial small subunit ribosomal RNA", at positions 774 to 1324 of the family's 1533-position model. The record is from RNAcentral.